UGGGGAAUAUUGCACAAUGGGCGCAAGCCUGAUGCAGCAACGCCGCGUGAGGGACGACGGCCUUCGGGUUGUAAACCUCUUUUAGUAGGGAAGAAGCGAAAGUGACGGUACCUGCAGAAAAAGCACCGGCUAACUACGUGCCAGCAGCCGCGGUAAUACGUAGGGUGCGAGCGUUGUCCGGAAUUAUUGGGCGUAAAGAGCUCGUAGGCGGUCUGUCGCGUCUGCUGUGAAAACCCGAGGCUCAACCUCGGGCCUGCAGUGGGUACGGGCAGACUAGAGUGCGGUAGGGGAGAAUGGAAUUCCUGGUGUAGCGGUGGAAUGCGCAGAUAUCAGGAGGAACACCGAUGGCGAAGGCAGUUCUCUGGGCCGUAACUGACGCUGAGGAGCGAAAGCGUGGGGAGCGAACAGGAUUAGAUACCCUGGUAGUCCACGCCGUAAACGUUGGGCGCUAGAUGUGGGGACCAUUCCACGGUUUCCGUGUCGCAGCUAACGCAUUAAGCGCCCCGCCUGGGGGAGUACGGCCGCAAGGCUAAAA
This 535-nucleotide ribosomal RNA is filed under the name uncultured bacterium. Its description in RNAcentral is "partial 16S ribosomal RNA". It matches the Rfam family "Bacterial small subunit ribosomal RNA", at positions 355 to 899 of the family's 1533-position model. The record is from RNAcentral.